RNAcentral lists this long non-coding RNA (2289 nucleotides) under Linum usitatissimum (flax). Its description in RNAcentral is "long non-coding RNA (LUSI_LNC008194)". The record is from RNAcentral. Lineage: Eukaryota; Viridiplantae; Streptophyta; Magnoliopsida; Malpighiales; Linaceae.
ACGUCGCCGCAACUCCUCCCUUCUCUUGUCUUCUUUUUUUGCCUCUUUUUUUUCUUCUCUUCUUUUUCUUCUUCCUGCCUCUCCUUCUCCUCAUGUUCCCUCCGCCUCUUUUUCUUUUAUUUUUUUUGUUUCCUCUCUUCUCUCAACGGUGAAGACAGCCGUCACCGCAUUCAUCCCUUUCUUUCUCUUUUUUCUUUUUCUCUCUCUCCUUAUUUCCUCUUCUUUUGUCUCCUCCUGCUUCCUUGCCGCCCUUAGCGGCAGUGACACCACCCCCCAUUUCUUCCUCUUGAUGAUCAGGAAGACAACAAAAGCAUACAAAAAAGGUACAACAACGAAAACCCUUCCUUUCUACUCAUCUUCCCUGAUUUUACUCCGAUUCAGGCUUGCAUGUCGCUGGAGGAUGCCUCCGGUGAGUCCUCCAGUGACAUGCAUGCCCCGAUCUGGGAUCUAGGGUUAGAGUUUUCAUUUGUAUAGCCUUUCUCUGACUUUUAUUGUUAUAUUUCAGUUGGUAUCGGUGGAACGAGAGGGGAGGAAAGCAGAAGAAAGAAAAAGGUGCCACCAACGAUGGACCUGUCGGUCGGAGAAAAGGCGGACGAGAAAGGUAAAAACUUAGUUUUUACAUUUGCUCUGCUUUUUCUUGGUGGAUGACGGUAGUUUUGUUGAUUAGGUCACUUGGAAUAAAAACUGGGCUAUUUUAUUGUUAACAUGAGCUUAGUAAUCUGAACUCUCUAAAAACUACCCAUUUUCUUGAAAAAUUGAUUAUUUAGUGUCAUCCUUGAUAAAAUUCAGCAACUUGUUUUAACGAAGAACUCAUGUUUUUGCUUGAUGUUGAUGCCGCGUUCCUAGUCUUGGAGUGAUUUUUGAAUCCUUGCUACUAAUGCACUGAGAGUACCAUAGGCUCAGCUCCGCUACCAUGAAAUGUCGGGGGAAAACUGCAGAAUGGGGAAGGGAUUGGGAACUUUGUUGUUAAUUUUAAUUUUUUAACCUAAAAUUGGGGUACUGUAUAGUAGUGUAGGAUGACGCGUGACGACGCGCUUUGGGUGUUGGGAUAAUUAUCUUUGUUAUCGGUUAAAGUAGGUUAACUCGAGUUAACCGACGAUAUUUUUUAACUAAUUUACCGUUUCACCAAAUUUAGCCACUACCUUUAACCAUUCCCUGGGAAACCUCUUGUUCGAUUAAACCGUCAUGUACCGACUUGAUCGGUUAAUCGGUUUUAUCGAGACAGAAAUGCCAUCCAUAAUUUUGGCAUUCUCCUAGGCACUACCAAUCAUCCCAAAACUCAAAUUCUUUUAUCUAGAAACUGCUUCAUAAUAUCCUACCUUUUGGCUGAUGGUUUAAUUAGUCAAAAUGUUGAUAUUCCAUCUUUAUGUUAGGUGUGUACUUUUUUCAUCAGGUUUGUGGUCGAUAACUAUCAUAUGGUGGCGCUAUGGAGAUCCUAUUGCCUUACAAACAAAGCGAAUGCUACCAAGUUGGUUUAUUUUUUGUGGCGGGUUUGAAAAUUAAGGAACUUGAGGGUUUCGAGCACUUACAAUACCCAAUCCAUGCGAUAUGUUAACAAUUUCUUUACAUUGGAUGGAAGGAGGAUGAUGUAAAGCUGGUUCAAUAACAAUUCCAUCGACUCAAGUCUUUCAUCCACCUCGACGCUAUUCACGAAAUCCAACUUGACGAUUUUACGUUAAUGUUGUUGUAUGUCCACCUUCCGCAACCUUCAUUAUGGGUCAAUUGGGGCGGUGGUAUUGAGACAAUGUGGAUUUACAAUUUCAGUUAUAGGGCUCAUCAUCAAGCAUAUUAUGGACCCCUCAUUCUUUAAUUUCAGGCCAUCUGAUAAGCAUUUUACGUUGCUCGUACAAAACCUGAUGACUCGACUAUCAUCUUCUCUGAUUCUACAGAAGUUGUGUAUCUCAUCAACUCCUCGCUCAAUGAUGCCAGUGUCGGACAACUUAUUUCUGAACGUCGAUUCCUUCUUCGUUCCGUCUCUCUAGUUUCCCUUCAUUUUAUCUGUUGUUGGGUAAUUGUGUCGCCCAUUCAGUGACACGUGAGGCUCUUAAUUACCCGAUCAUCUCUUAUUCCAUCCCUUUGUUGUAUUGUAUUCCCCCCUUAGGGGUUAAUACUUGUUAUUCUCGUUGGUUUCUUGAGUAUCAUGACAUGAUAUCUUUGACUAAAAAAACUAUACCUAUUGUCAAUAUAUAAAAAGGUUGCUCCUCUAUUAACGACAAAAUCCUAAGCAGCGACACAUUCACUUAAGAAGUAACAGGUGCAAGCUGUCAAUAACUAGGCUUGUGAAAUUUC